CAGUUCUUAAUGCAAAGAAGCAGGCAAACAGCACUCAAAUGUGAACAAAAUGCAUACCAGUAUGAAUGAGGAGGCAUGGUCUAUGUACCAAAGAGUUUACAAUCUAAUUUCCAACAGGAUGAUGAAAUGAUAGGGAGAAGUAGUGGGCAGUAGGACACAGAUUACAGCAACUGCAUGGAUACAGCAAAGUCUAGGGCACAGCAAGGAUGGAGGUGUAAGAUGACACAGGCCUAGUCUGAUGAAGCUGCUGGUGCCAGGUGAAGAAAAGGCCCCUUCUCUAACUAAGGUGGUGGUGUAUGCAUUUGUUGUUCAUAAAAGCGAAGGAAUAGCAUCAGCAAACAUCCUAUUGAAUUCCAGUCCCAUUGCCACUCAAAUCCUUGGUAUCUAUUAAGAAGACAUUCCUGCCAGUUGUGUCAAUGCAGUUAAUGAUCUUUUGAUGUCAUGAGUGUGAAAUCAUCAAACUCAUUUUUCCUUUACACCAAAUUCAGGAUUUGAACUCAGAUUUCUAAAGGUGAAAGGCUAGUGUCCUAACCUACUAUGGCACUGAACUUCCAUAGUUAAUUGUUUAAAUGAGUGUUGAGUGGCAAAUAUAAGUCAAUUACUAAUUUAAGAAAAUCUCUCAUUGGUCUUUAUGCAAAAUCCAGUUAGCAUGAAUGAGAAUUUUAAGUGCUGAAACAGGAGGAAUAAAUGGCAUUUAGAUAUUUUCAUUCAAUUAUUUACCUCCUUUUGAUGUGUCUUAUGCUCAUGGAACUUUAACUACAUUUGUGCCUUUCACUUAAAUUCAUACCCUCUGCGUUUGUGCAGAGAUUGAAAAUAGGGACCUUCACCCGUUCUGCUACCUCAUGGUCACUCUUCUUGUUGCUUAUUACAUAGAUGCUAAAGAGUAGGAGGGACGAUAGUAUGGCAAUCUUGGUCAAAGAAUUAAAAAGAAAAGAAAAGCUAUGCUGUAGAGACUGAUACAAUUAAACACCUACUAUAAUACUGUAUGGUGCAGCAUGUAAUUUUGAUAAGAUUUAUUUUGUAACUUAAUAAGAGGUUUUUCUAUUAUACCUAAUUCAUCUUCACCAAAUCCCCAAACGUGUCCUGAAAAGAAGCCUCUACAUGAGCCACUGUUGCCAAGACAUAGAGGUUUCUCUUGCCACUGUUUGGUCACAGGACUCUGUUGCAGCGUUAAAAAAUUUCUGUAAUCAAACACAUACAAUGCAAACUGUUAUAUAGCAUUUGAAAAGAGAACUUAAAAUGUCCAGAUAAUAAAAAGGAGUUGCAGUAGGACACGUCUAUAAAAUUAAUCACAAUAUAGUUUCCCAGCAGGCAUUGUACAAACACAAAAAAGCAUAACAUUCAUCCUUCUGCCAUCCUUACUCCGGUUGCUUAGUAUCUAUGUGUGGCAGAAUUGAGCCCAAAGUAUUGUAAAUAUAUAUAUAUCCUGAAAAUACUUCUCUUGCACAUGGAUAUUAAGCAUUUCUCUUGCUUGGUGUGACAGGACUGCACCCGUUCAUCCAGAAAGCAUUACUUUUUCUCUAUCAUUGAUGUUUCCAUGAGACCAAGAUUCAAAGCUGCACUGUUAUUCAGUUAGACCCCGAUUUUGUAAAUACACACAUGGAUUAAAUGCUUGAUCCAUUGAAGUCAAUGGGACUACUCGUGUACUUAAAGUUAAGCAUGGGCAUAGGUGUUUGGAGGAUCGGGGUGGAUUAGGGGUCCCUGAGGAGCAUUUGGGAUCAAUAUCUCCAUUUCAACCUCCUCUAGAGAUCAAGUAUGUUACCUCUGCUGCUAUUCAUUAGAAUGCCAUGACUCAGAAAGUAGUGGUCCCUAUCUUGUUUCCAAACCUGGGGAUUUCUCUAUGGCAUUGCCGCACUGCAAGGUUGGCAGAACUACUUUAAUAUGCAAACAUGCAAAAUAUUAUUGUUGCUUUAUAUGUAUCAUAAGUAAAUAUAUUGAUUUUAAGAACCUACCCAUUGUGGUCUCCAAACACAUAACUUCCAUAAAGUCUCUCAGAUUGGCAACCUCGGUAUACAAAUCCACCAACCAAUGGUCCACUACUGAAUGGUUUGAAUUCUAGAAGUGAAGGCUCGCUCUCUAAAAAGGAACUACCACAGCAUUAGAUCAAAUACAAUUUCAUAUAUUAAAAACAAUUAUGCAAAUACUAUAUGAAGAAAAGUUAUUGCCAUUCAAAUUGCACCAAUGUUGAGAUGUACAUGAUAUAUAAGACAGGAAACCAGAGUAUAAGAGAAACCAGAAAACACCAUCAUAAACAUAGAGGGACAUAGCCUAACCUAAGGCUGAGAGAAGAAUAGAGCCAAAGGGGGUCAUAUCCUAACUAUCCUAUUGAAGUUGAUGGGAGUCUUGCUGUUGACUUUUGUGACUGGAAUUUCACCCAGAGAAUGGAUCUGUUAUGCUUCAGCAUUAUAAAUAAUAAAGGGUGUGGCUUAGGGAUUUAGGAGUACAAGUCCCAUUGACUUUCAGCGGGUCUUGUGCUUUUGAAAACCUUGCCCAAAGCUACCUUCUUUUAAGGUCAGUUUCUUAAUGCAAUAAGCCUGUACUGUUCAGGAUCAUGCAUCAGUAUUGCUGGCUGUAGUUUCUUAUUUAGGCUGAGGCCAUUAUACUGCUGUUAGGGUUGACAACAGUAACAUGCAUUUUUUGUCUUGCAGAACUGCACUGUUAAA
Molecule: long non-coding RNA, 2663 nt
Organism: Mauremys reevesii (Reeves's turtle)
Lineage: Eukaryota; Metazoa; Chordata; Testudines; Geoemydidae
Exons: 4
Source: RefSeq, a predicted model, not a curated record